This 494-nucleotide ribosomal RNA is filed under the name uncultured bacterium. RNAcentral describes it as "partial 16S ribosomal RNA". It matches the Rfam family "Bacterial small subunit ribosomal RNA", at positions 28 to 507 of the family's 1533-position model. The record is from RNAcentral.
GACGAACGCUGGCGGCGUGCUUAACACAUGCAAGUCGAACGGAAAGGCCUGCUUUCCCUUGUGGAUUGCGGGUACUCGAGUGGCGAACGGGUGAGUAACACGUGAGUGAUCUGCCCCCAACUUGGGUAUAAGCCUGGGAAACUGGGUCUAAUUCCCGAUAGGACUGCAGGGUGGUGCCUGUGGUGGAAAACGAUUUUCUAGUGGUUGGGGAUGAGCUCGCGGCCUAUCAGCUUGUUGGUGGGGUAAUGGCCUACCAAGGCGGCGACGGGUAGCCGGCCUGAGAGGGUGGACGGGCACAUUAGGACUGAGAGACGGCCCAGACUCCUACGGGAGGCAGCAGUGGGGAAUAUGACGCAAUGGGCGGAAGCCUGAUGCAGCGACGCGGCGUGGGGGAUGACGGCCUUCGGGUUGUAAACUCCUUUCGACCGAGAGGAAGCCACCUGGUUGGAAGGGUGGUGACGGUAGUGGUAGAAGAAGCACCGGCUAACUACGUG